This 490-nucleotide ribosomal RNA is filed under the name uncultured bacterium. Its description in RNAcentral is "partial 16S ribosomal RNA". It matches the Rfam family "Bacterial small subunit ribosomal RNA", at positions 29 to 505 of the family's 1533-position model. The record is from RNAcentral.
AGUGAACGCUGGCGGUAGGCCUAACACAUGCAAGUCGAACGGCAGCACAGUAAGAGCUUGCUCUUACGGGUGGCGAGUGGCGGACGGGUGAGGAAUACAUCGGAAUCUACUUUUUCGUGGGGGAUAACGUAGGGAAACUUACGCUAAUACCGCAUACGACCUACGGGUGAAAGCAGGGGAUCUUCGGACCUUGCGCGAUUGAAUGAGCCGAUGUCGGAUUAGCUAGUUGGCGGGGUAAAGGCCCACCAAGGCGACGAUCCGUAGCUGGUCUGAGAGGAUGAUCAGCCACACUGGAACUGAGACACGGUCCAGACUCCUACGGGAGGCAGCAGUGGGGAAUAUUGGACAAUGGGCGCAAGCCUGAUCCAGCCAUACCGCGUGGGUGAAGAAGGCCUUCGGGUUGUAAAGCCCUUUUGUUGGGAAAGAAAAGCAGCAGGUUAAUACCCCGCUGUUCCGACGGUACCCAAAGAAUAAGCACCGGCUAACUUCG